GGGCGAAAGCCUGACGCAGCGACGCCGCGUGAAGGAUGAAGGUCUUCGGAUUGUAAACUUCUGUUAAGUGGGAAGAAAGCUCUAGUCCUAAUACGGCUAGAGAAUGACGGUACCAUUAGAGAAAGCACCGGCUAACCUCGUGCCAGCAGCCGCGGUAAUACGAGGGGUGCAAGCGUUAUUCGGAAUGAUUGGGCGUAAAGGGUGCGUAGGCGGUCUGCUAAGUCAAUUGUUUAAUCUCCCGGCCUAACCGGGAAUCAGCAGUAGAUACUGGCGAACUAGAGGGUGGAAGAGAGAAGUGGAAUUCUCGGAGUAGCGGUAAAAUGCGUAGAUCUCGAGAGGAACACCGAUGGCGAAGGCAGCUUCUUGGUCCACAUCUGACGCUGAAGCACGAAAGCGUGGGGAGCAAACAGGAUUAGAUACCCUGGUAGUCCACGCCCUAAACGAUGAUCACUAGACGUCAGCUUCAAUCGCGAAGUUGGUGUCGUAGCUAACGCGUUAAGUGAUCCGCCUGGGGAUUA
RNAcentral lists this ribosomal RNA (518 nucleotides) under uncultured bacterium. RNAcentral's name for it is "bacterial SSU rRNA". It matches the Rfam family "Bacterial small subunit ribosomal RNA", at positions 373 to 882 of the family's 1533-position model. The record is from RNAcentral.